AGGACGAACGCUGGCGGCGUGCUUAACACAUGCAAGUCGAACGGAAAGGCCAGUGCUUGCACUGGUGCUCGAGUGGCGAACGGGUGAGUAACACGUGGGUGAUCUGCCUUGCACUCUGGGAUAAGCUUGGGAAACUGGGUCUAAUACCGGAUAUGAACUGCCUUUAGUGUGGUGGUUGGAAAGUUUUUUCGGUGCAAGAUGAGCUCGCGGCCUAUCAGCUUGUUGGUGGGGUAAUGGCCUACCAAGGCGUCGACGGGUAGCCGGCCUGAGAGGGUGUACGGCCACAUUGGGACUGAGAUACGGCCCAGACUCCUACGGGAGGCAGCAGUGGGGAAUAUUGCACAAUGGGCGGAAGCCUGAUGCAGCGACGCCGCGUGGGGGAUGACGGCCUUCGGGUUGUAAACUCCUUUCGACAGGGACGAAGCGUAAGUGACGGUACCUGUAUAAGAAGCACCGGCUAACUACGUGCCAGCAGCCGCGGUAAUACGUAGGGUGCGAGCGUUGUCCGGAAUUACUGGGCGUAAAGAGCUCGUAGGUGGUUUGUCGCGUCGUCUGUGAAAUUCCGGGGCUUAACUUCGGGCGUGCAGGCGAUACGGGCAUAACUUGAGUGCUGUAGGGGAGACUGGAAUUCCUGGUGUAGCGGUGAAAUGCGCAGAUAUCAGGAGGAACACCGAUGGCGAAGGCAGGUCUCUGGGCAGUUACUGACGCUGAGGAGCGAAAGCAUGGGUAGCAAACAGGAUUAGAUACCCUGGUAGUCCAUGCCGUAAACGGUGGGCGCUAGGUGUAGGGGGCUUCCACGUCUUCUGUGCCGUAGCUAACGCAUUAAGC
Molecule: ribosomal RNA, 828 nt
Filed under: Corynebacterium aurimucosum
Lineage: Bacteria; Bacillati; Actinomycetota; Actinomycetes; Mycobacteriales; Corynebacteriaceae
Description: bacterial SSU rRNA
Rfam family: Bacterial small subunit ribosomal RNA
Source: RNAcentral